AAAUGCGAUAAGUAGUGUGAAUUGCAGAAUUCAGUGAAUCAUCGAAUCUUUGAACGCACAUUGCGCCCCUCGGUAUUCCGUGGGGCAUGCCUGUUCGAGCGUCAUCUACACCCUCAAGCUCUGCUUGGUGUUGGGCGUCUGUCCCGCCUCCUUCGCGCGCGGACUCGCCCCAAAUCCAUUGGCGGCGGCCCUUGCCUCCCUCUCGCGCAGCACAUUGCGCUUCUCGAGGCGCGGCGGACCGCGUCCAGCAAGCAACCGUCACACCGUCUUUGACCUCGGAUCAGGUAGGGAUACCCGCUGAACUUAAGC
Molecule: unclassified non-coding RNA, 309 nt
Filed under: plant metagenome
Description: partial contains 5.8S ribosomal RNA, internal transcribed spacer 2, and large subunit ribosomal RNA
Rfam family: 5.8S ribosomal RNA (bases 1-104)
Source: RNAcentral